AUUAGAUACCCUAUUAUNUUUAUUGUAAAAAGUUAAUACUGGAGUAUUAAUAGAUAUAGUCUUUAAACUUAAAGAAUUUGGCGGUUUUAUAAUCUAUUUAGAGGAAUCUGUUAUGUAAUUGAUAAUCCACAUUGAACCUUACUUAUAUUAAUUUUUUGUAUACCGCUGUUAUAAGAAGAUUCUUUUAGGUAAUUUUCUUGAUAUAACAUUAAUUAAAAUUUCAAGUCAAGGUGCAGUUAUAUAUAAGUUGAAUAAUGGAUUACAAUAAAUUUUAUUUAUCAUAUGAAUUGUUAUUGUAAGUAUAAUUUGAAAGUGGAUUUAAUUGUAAUUUUAUAAAGAUUAGUAAAAUGAUUAUAGUUCUAUAAUGUGUACACAUCGCCCG
RNAcentral lists this ribosomal RNA (382 nucleotides) under Theopropus elegans. Its description in RNAcentral is "partial 12S ribosomal RNA". The record is from RNAcentral. Lineage: Eukaryota; Metazoa; Arthropoda; Insecta; Mantodea; Hymenopodidae.